ACUGGAGGAAGGUGGGGAUGACGUCAAAUCAUCAUGCCCCUUAUGACCUGGGCUACACACGUGCUACAAUGGAUGGUACAACGAGUUGCGAACUCGCGAGAGUAAGCUAAUCUCUUAAAGCCAUUCUCAGUUCGGAUUGUAGGCUGCAACUCGCCUACAUGAAGUCGGAAUCGCUAGUAAUCGCGGAUCAGCAUGCCGCGGUGAAUACGUUCCCGGGCCUUGUACACACCGCCCGUCACACCAUGAGAGUUUGUAACACCCAAAGUCGGUGGGGUAACCUGAUAGGAACCAGCCGCCUAAGGUGGACAGAGAGU
RNAcentral lists this ribosomal RNA (314 nucleotides) under Lacticaseibacillus paracasei. RNAcentral describes it as "bacterial SSU rRNA". It matches the Rfam family "Bacterial small subunit ribosomal RNA", at positions 1162 to 1475 of the family's 1533-position model. Lineage: Bacteria; Bacillati; Bacillota; Bacilli; Lactobacillales; Lactobacillaceae. The record is from RNAcentral.